RNAcentral lists this transfer RNA (77 nucleotides) under Citrobacter phage Mijalis. Its description in RNAcentral is "tRNA-Asp". Lineage: Duplodnaviria; Heunggongvirae; Uroviricota; Caudoviricetes; Andersonviridae. The record is from RNAcentral.
AUUCCCUUCGUAACCGCCAAAUUUGAGAGGGCUUUUUUAGCCCAUCCCUUAAAGAGUUCUUACGAGUAUUCUUUAAA